Oncorhynchus tshawytscha (Chinook salmon) is the source of this 4482-nucleotide RNA transcript. It is a transcript of the gene named tyrosine-protein phosphatase non-receptor type 11, with no coding region annotated. The transcript has 17 exons. The record is from RefSeq and is a predicted model, not a curated record. Lineage: Eukaryota; Metazoa; Chordata; Actinopteri; Salmoniformes; Salmonidae.
CAGUCUGUUCUUCAUUGUUCUGCUAUUCCACCUGUAAGCGAUCUGACAUGAACCAAGUGGAUAUUAUGGACACAGUAUAUAUAUAUAUUUUUAACGACACACUUCAGUCUUUGUGUAAGCCCUACCGACCCUUAGUAGAAUGAGUAUCCCUGACUGUGGGCUUUGGAGGCGGGUUAUCCGGGGAUAUUGUCUUUGGAGUUGAACCUUGUUCUACAAACGCUCUCCCCAGUGCAUGCUCGCCAACAGCGACACCGCGAAGCCCUAAAGGGAAGGCUUGCUUUAUUUGACUUUCCCUUCUCAUUCAACGACAGCUUUCCAAGACUGCUAUGACGUCUCGCAGGUGGUUCCACCCCAACAUCACCGGAAUCGAGGCAGAGCAGCUCCUCUUGACCCGGGGGGUCCAUGGCAGUUUCCUAGCUCGGCCGAGCAAGAGCAACCCGGGAGAUUUUACUCUCUCUAUCAGGCGGAACAAUGAGGUCACCCACAUUAAGAUCCAGAAUUCAGGGGACUACUACGACCUGUAUGGAGGGGAGAAGUUUGCCACGCUGGCAGAGCUGGUGCAGUACUACACAGAGCAGCACGACCUUCUCAGAGAGAGGAACGGAGACGUCAUCGAGCUCAAGUACCCACUCAACUGUAAGGACCCAACCUCCGAGAGGUGGUACCACGGGCACCUGUCUGGGCGUGACGCUGAGAAGCUGCUCAUGGACAAGGGCAAGCCUGGCAGUUUCCUGGUACGGGAGAGCCAGAGCAAACCAGGUGACUUUGUGCUCUCUGUCCUCACCAACGAGGAGAAGCACGAGAACGUAGACCGCAAGACCAAGGUCACCCAUGUCAUGAUUCGCUACCAGCAGGAUGGGAAGUAUGACGUAGGUGGAGGAGAGAGGUUUGACACGCUGGCUGACCUGGUGGAUCACUACAAGAAGAACCCCAUGGUGGAGAAGAGUGGAAUUGUUGUUCACCUCAAACAGCCCUUCAAUGCCACCAGGAUAAAUGCAGCCAACAUUGAGAACAGGGUGAAGGAACUGAACAAAGUGGCAGACAACUCAGAGAAGCCCAAACAGGGAUUCUGGGAAGAGUUUGAGGUGCUACAGCAGCAGGAGUGUAAGCUCCUCUACCCCAGGAAAGAAGGGCAGAGAGCAGAGAACAAGAGUAAAAACAGAUACAAGAACAUCCUCCCUUUUGACACCACACGGGUGGAGAUCAGGGAAGCAGACACAGAUGUGCCUGGCUCCGACUACAUCAACGCCAACUACAUCAGAGUGAGUUCUGGAAGUAGUAUGCAUGAAGAGGGCCGCCACGUGGAGGAGGGCAAGGUGUUCAUCGCCACCCAGGGCUGCCUUCAGAACACGGUGGUGGACUUCUGGAAGAUGGUCUACCAGGAAAACACACACGUCAUUGUCAUGACCACCAAGGAGAUGGAGAGAGGACGGAACAAGUGUGUGCGUUACUGGCCCGACCUCAACGCCACUAAGGAGUUUGGGAAAGUGAGUGUGAAGAACGUGGAGGAGUGUCCGGCUCAAGACUACAUCCUAAGGGAAUUGGAGGUGACGCGUUUGGACAGGAGGGAGCUGGUGCGGUACAUCUGGCACUACCAGUAUCUGAGCUGGCCUGACCAUGGCGUGCCCAACGAGCCUGGGGGAGUGCUCAGCUUCCUGGAGCAGGUCAACCGCACGCAGAGCGCCAUUCCAGACACCGGACCAAUUGUGGUCCACUGCAGUGCAGGAAUUGGGAGAACAGGCACCAUAAUUGUCAUUGACAUUCUCAUUGACAUCAUCAACAGACAAGGAUUAGACUGUGACAUCGACAUCCCUAAGACCAUCCAGAGGGUUCGUCAGCAGCGGUCAGGCAUGGUGCAGACGGAGGCCCAGUAUAAGUUCAUCUACAUGGCCGUCCAGCAGUACAUUGACACGGCACAGAAGAGACUGGAGGAGGAGCAGAGGAACAAAACGAAGGAGAGGGAGUACUCCAAUAUCAAAUACCCCCAGAUGACCAACGCCCGGUCAAAACCCAACAUGACCUGUGUGUCACGCUCCUCCUCUGUGGUGAUGGAUGACAACCCGUCCAGCGUGUAUGAGAACUUAAACAUCAAGAACCCAAAGACCUGCGGGAGCAGCAGUAAAACCAGGAGGUGAAGUCCAGCCACGGACCUCUGCCUCUCUCAACCUCUCUGUCCUCAUUGGUUGUGGGCCUGGGAUAUAUCCUCUGCUACCCUGUGAGCGGGCGCAGAUGGAGAGACGUUAGUUUCAACAGAGGUGCCUCUUCGCCAGCGCCUGAUUCAUGGGGGGCCUGUGGAGCUCUGGCCCCGGACCCCCUGGCGGUGGACCCUACCUGGGGUGAAGGUGGAGGUCCUGACCCCUCCUAGUCUCUCCCCUUCUGCUGCCCUGCUGGCUGUCUAGAGCAUCCCCCCUCCACAGAGAGAGGGGUGUAGCGCAGGGCUCUUGUCCUUCUAUCAUCAUCCCCCAUCCCUCUCUCUCUCUCUCUCUCUCUCUCUCUAUGACCUCCACAUGACUUCAUGUCUCUUCUACAGGCUCUACCGUUUACUGACAGUGCCUUGUCUACAGACGUGUCUGUAACCCCCUUCCUCCUCCCACAGUUGUUCCCACCACCCAAACCCCCUAUCUAUCAACCAUCCCACCAGCCCAACAAAUGUCCUUUGCUUAUUUCUGUUGACUCAAACUAAAUCGAGAAAAGAAACAAACCAUUGUGUACUCUUGUGUGAUAUCAAUGUUUAAAUGUUUAAGUGAUGCUUUUCUCUGUCGUGUUCCGUCGUGAGGUGGAUGGGACAAGAAAGAUUUCGAGAAUAUUUCUCUUCUCGCUCUCAGAAUUUGCUCCUCUAUCUAUCUCUCUCUCUCUCUCUCUGCUGGCUCUCAUCUACUUGAAUCAAAGACUUCAGCAAUGUUCUAUUCUUGCUAGCAGCAGUCAUUACUGCAGUGUUGAGCGAUUUUACCACGUGAGGCACUGGCGCAGACAAGCUUACUCAACCCUCUCUCAUACCUUAAUUUUGAAAGUCGAGGAAAGUCAGGGUAUUCGCAAUGGCCCUUUGUCAGUGAGUUGGGCUAAAAAAAAUCAAAUACCCCAACUCACUGACAAAGGGAUUUUCCAUUUGCCACAAAGAUAUUUUCCAUUUCUGUACAGGGAAGUAUUUCUUCAAUAUAAUUUGAGAUGUACUUGUUUGUCCCACCUGUCCCACCGAUGAUCUCUUGUGCCAAUAGAAGACGUGCAUGCUCAUCUACUUUCGGGAUUCCACCAUUGCAGUUGCUGUGCGCCUAUUCAGUCAAUAUUAACAAGCUCCUCUCCAGACUUACUUAUGAAAUGUUUCUAUUUAUUUAGUUUGAAUCUGUGUCCUUUCAAUGGAUUCUUGUUUAUUUUGUUGUUAUUAUUGGUGUGAUUUUGUAAUGCACAGUAUGUUUUUUUAUGUUUUUGUUUAUUGGGGAAAAUGAAAAAGCGGUGCGCUAUUGCCUCCAAAGGAAGAAAGAUCCAAUUCCAUUGUUAUGAAUUGACAAAAAAAGCACAAUUUUCUGCCCUGCACUUGCUCUGCAGAUCCUGGUUUAUAUGCGGGAAAUUAACAUAGUUUGAGGUCAACGUUGGCGUCAGAGAAAGUCUGCAAAGGUUUUCAUCCCGAUCGAAUGGCAUAACAAACCGUGUUAAACAUCUGCCAAGCGAGAGAUAGGAGAAGAUGGGAGAGGACAGGAGAGGAUUCAGGAUGCUAGCCUGGCUCACUGACGUGGGCUGCUAUCGCUGAAGUCUUUAGCCAAACAUUACUGGGCCAGAUGGCCUACAGCCCAAGAAUAAAUAAUAGAUUUAUCUCCAAAAAGCUAUCUACAAGAUGGCUAUAAUCCAGGCUUGACGAUGGUGGGAGUAAAAGCCGACGUUACUGAUGUCAUAAGGAGGGAGGCGCCGCACAGCAAAGAGCUGUGAUAUAUAUAUCUGUAAUAUAUUCUUAAAUAUACAUGUACAUCAUCAGCAGUGGCUUCUUUCUGACAGACGUCAUGCUAACUAUUCUUAGCAUUUUGAAUAAAAAUCUAAUGUUGAAGGUGUUCACACUGGAUUUAGCCAGCGGCACAUUGAUCCACACAUCCUUUUGAACAAGCCGGUUGUUUGGCUGCAUAGAGGUUGUGUUACCUGCUGUGUGAGUCGGGCUGUACUUGUACAUGGUUCAGGCCUUUUUAACUAAGGCUUGGCAGCACAUCUGAGGGCCGCAUUUGCUACAUCGUCUCUUGCUCAUCCUAACACCAAUGCAGUAACUUUCAGUAAUACUGAAAGUAUGAAUUUUCAGUAUUUCCCUUUUUAGCUGAAAUGUCUGUAUUUCAGAAAGCUAAAUCAGUCCUAGUAGCAUAUGUCAUUCUCAAUAUUGUAUUCAUGCUACAUUGAGUGUCACACUAUUUGUUGUUUUGGCUCUCUACACCAGCACUUUUUACCAUGAUUACGGAUAGUCCUGAAUGAAUCGUAAAUAAUGAUAAGUGAGAAAGUUAGACACAC